UAAUACGUAGGUGGCGAGCGUUAUCCGGAUUUAUUGGGCGUAAAGUGGGCGCUGGCGGUUCUUCAAGUCGGACGUAAAAUCUCCCGGCUCAACUGGGAGGGACCGUCCGAUACUGUUGGACUAGAGGGCAACAGAGGAAGGUAGAAUUCCCGGUGUAGUGGUGGAAUGCGUAGAUAUCGGGAGGAAUACCCGUGGCGAAAGCGGCCUUCUGGGUUGCCUCUGACGCUGAUGCCCGAAAGCGUGGGGAGCAAACAGGAUUAGAUACCCUGGUAGUCCACGCCAUAAACUAUGGACACUGGGUGCGGGGAGUAUCAACCCUUUCUGUGCCGAAGCUAACGCGUUAAGUGUCCCGUCUGGGAAGUACGGCCGCAAGGCUA
This 377-nucleotide ribosomal RNA is filed under the name uncultured Chloroflexota bacterium. RNAcentral's name for it is "bacterial SSU rRNA". It matches the Rfam family "Bacterial small subunit ribosomal RNA", at positions 521 to 896 of the family's 1533-position model. Lineage: Bacteria; Bacillati; Chloroflexota. The record is from RNAcentral.